Molecule: ribosomal RNA, 497 nt
Filed under: uncultured bacterium
Lineage: Bacteria
Description: partial 16S ribosomal RNA
Rfam family: Bacterial small subunit ribosomal RNA
Source: RNAcentral
GACGAACGCUGGCGGCGUGCCUAAUACAUGCAAGUUGAGCGAUGAAGAUUGGUGCUUGCACCAAUUUGAAGAGCAGCGAACGGGUGAGUAACGCGUGGGGAAUCUGCCUUUGAGCGGGGGACAACAUUUGGAAACGAAUGCUAAUACCGCAUAACAACUUUAAACAUAAGUUUUAAGUUUGAAAGAUGCAAUUGCAUCACUCAAAGAUGAUCCCGCGUUGUAUUAGCUAGUUGGUGAGGUAAAGGCUCACCAAGGCGAUGAUACAUAGCCGACCUGAGAGGGUGAUCGGCCACAAUGGGACUGAGACACGGCCCAAACUCCUACGGGAGGCAGCAGUAGGGAAUCUUAGGCGAUGGACGAAAGUCUGACCGAGCAACGCCGCGUGAGUGAAGAAGGUUUUCGGAUCGUAAAACUCUGUUGGUAGAGAAGAACGUUGGUGAGAGUGGAAAGCUCAUCAAGUGACGGUAACUACCCAGAAAGGGACGGCUAACUACGUG